Molecule: ribosomal RNA, 242 nt
Filed under: uncultured bacterium
Lineage: Bacteria
Description: partial 16S ribosomal RNA
Rfam family: Bacterial small subunit ribosomal RNA
Source: RNAcentral
GAUCCUUGCUCAGGAUGAACGCUAGCUACAGGCUUAACACAUGCAAGUCGAGGGGAAACGGAUAUUGGAAGCUUGCUUCCGAUAGGCGUCGACCGGCGCACGGGUGAGUAACGCGUAUCCAACCUGCCCACCACUUGGGGGAUAACCUUGCGAAAGUAAGACUAAUACCCAAUGAUAUCUCUAGAAGACAUCUGAAAGAGAUUAAAGAUUUAUCGGUGAUGGAUGGGGAUGCGUCUGAUUAG